This is an RNA transcript of Glossina fuscipes, 2266 nucleotides long. RefSeq lists it as uncharacterized. The transcript is spliced from 3 exons. The record is from RefSeq and is a predicted model, not a curated record. Lineage: Eukaryota; Metazoa; Arthropoda; Insecta; Diptera; Glossinidae.
UCAAAUAGUUAAUAAGUAAUAAUAAAAUAUGAACGCGUUGCGCAAUAUUUUCAGCGCGAGAGCGUUGAACUUUUUGCGGCAUAAUGGUCAAAAUGCUCUUUUUAAUAUUACACAACCAGCUGAUAAUGCUGCUACCACCUCUUCAAAUUCUUUAUGCGAUGGAAAUAAUAUUAUUACACAAAAUCGUCCGGCAGAACCGUUAGUAAUACCAAAAGCCAUAUUAGAAGCUACUAAAUUUGCUGGCAAAAGCUUUCUCAACAAUUCAAAUUCGACGGGUUCAAUCUCUCCUACAACGUUAAAAUUAUACCGCCGCAUCCAGCGUAAAGUAGAUAUAACAUACAUAUGCAAACUAUGUAAUACUCGGAAUACGAAGCAAGUUAAUGAAGCCGCUUAUAAAAAUGGUGUUGUUAUACUUCAAUGUGAUGGCUGUGCCGUAAAUCAUUUAAUCAUUGACAAUCUUGGUGACGAAUUCAUUGAUUUAUUGAAUGGUAAUAAUAAUUGACUACGUCUAAGUCAACUAUAAAAUGGUCUGAAAAACAUUGAAACUUCUAACGGAAUUAUCAUUAAAUAAAUCCAUCGAUCAAUAAAUCGAUAUCCAUAUAAAGGGAUAAUUGUUUUCACAAUCGAUUUGUUUGUGUUUAAUCGCAAGAUUUUAUCCACAAUUGCAAAUUGCGAUGAGUAGAUUUCUUAAGGACUCAGUAUGGUCGAGGCAAAUUAUUGCAAAUGUUGUGAUCAUCGUUGAUGAACCGGAAUCAAGAUUACCAUGAGAGUCGGACAGAUUGUAGUACUGUUUAACAUUUUUCUGAUAUAUCUACGAAGGUCCAUCUUUUCCCUUGUGCCAUCCGUUAUUAGCGGCGUGGAAAUCGUAAAUUUGGCUACUGGUUCGACUUGCUACUUUCGCGCGCGACCAGCAUGACUGUAAUCUCCUUAUUUUACGAUAUAAAUGGUUUCGGCUGCUCGUGACAAUAAUCGUUUCCGAGGUAAUUAUUUAGAGAUAGACCAGUCAAUACUUACGCAUGGGCAUAGUAUUCUCACUGGACGGAGCGAAGCCUAUGUUUAUCUCCUAGGAAAAAGUAUUUGGUGAGCAGAGCUCGAAGAGUGAGUAGACAACUGUGGCAAUGUAGAGAAACGUGGAAACGGAUCUUGCCACCCCGCCAAGCAGAACGAGGAAAAAGCAAAAAGUCCUUGCCGACAAUUCUGUUGCUCACGUUGAGAAGUUUCGGGAUGAUUUUGAUUUUUAAUUCGUUGAUUCUACUAUCUAAAGCGAAGAGAUCUGUGCCGUCAAUAAUGUUGUUGUUGACUAUUUUAAAACGUUAUAUCUGUUUGUAAGUUAUUGCCGUACAUGGUGCGACCAUUUCUGAUUUUGCUUAACACAAAUAUUGCUAAGAUAAACAAUGGUGUUUAUGUACAAAAGCCAUUUGCAAAUAACACGGCAUAUAUAUGAAAUUCUAUUUAAUGAGUUAUACAAAAGGUUUCCGUAGUUUUUUGCGAAUAGGUGGUGUUGAUGCCUAUUCUUUGCUCGGGUAGAAGGUUAUAUCGAUUUGAAAAUGAGCAAAAUAUCUGAAGAAUACGCUAUAUAAUGCUUUUUUACUAUAAAAAAGGUAAAAACUGUGCAAAAAAAAUUUUUGUAAAGUGUAAGGUGAGAAUGCCGUGAAUGAAUGAAGGAUUCAUAGCGAAAAAACUAAACGUCAACCAAUUGAAAUUGAAUCAAAAUUUCUAACGAACGAAGUGCCACUUCGAAUGGUUUCAUUGCUUGCCAGGCAAAAAAAAAGAAGAAGAAGAAGUAGGUCUACCAUGACAAUCCCAAGCCCAAGUAUUAUGGGUUAGUUUAAGAGAGUCAUCCACAUCAAUACCGCGCCAGAAUACAUUCAUGAUCAUAAAGUUGUGCAGUGCAUAUGAUGGGAUCAGCACCAUGUAGUCUAUUGCGAGCUGCUAAAGCCGAAUGAAACUGUUACUGCAGAUGUCUACCGACUUCAAUUCAAUAAUGGAUUAUUAAAAAAAAGGCCAGCAAUAGCGCCUACCAGAUGCACGUAUCCUCUUACAUGACAACGCUCGCCCAUACGUUGCAAGAAUUGUCACGUAUACAUUCUUGCAGCUGAUAUGGGAAGUGCUUUCGCAUCUAGCGUACUCAGCAGAUAUAGCGCUUUCCGAUUACCACUUGUCCAGAAUGGUUGCGGCAUGGCUUGGUUGACACGCGGAUCUGCAAAGUUGAAAAAGUGCGAAAAUGGGUCGGUGGGGGUCGCUGCCCAAAAAAAAAAAACAAUAU